RNAcentral lists this long non-coding RNA (300 nucleotides) under Elaeis guineensis (African oil palm). RNAcentral describes it as "long non-coding RNA (EGUI_LNC014170)". The record is from RNAcentral. Lineage: Eukaryota; Viridiplantae; Streptophyta; Magnoliopsida; Arecales; Arecaceae.
UGGAUAGCCUUGACAUAGGCAGGAACAUGAUGCUAUAGAUUGCAGUCACAUGUUGAAUUGUGACAUUAUGAAUAGUCUUACCGUUAAUAAAAAUGUAGUAUGAUGGUUUGUGAGUCAUAGGUUAGAUCUGGGAAGUUAACUAUUAUUGGAUGCGAAUCAUACUAACUAGAAAAUGAUAGAUAAAUUAUUUGAAACCCUUAAUGAAUAGAAUGGUUAUUAUAAUGAUACAUGAUAUAUCCUUUUAAAUAGCAUGGCUAUCCUUAAACUAUUAUAAAUUGUAUGCAUGAUAGAAACACACAC